AUGGGGAAACCGAGGCGAGAAAUUAUGUUCGACACGAUUGACAUAAGCAACAUUGCAUGCCGGGACAGGGCUGGAGAGCGCGGCACUGAUAUCGCAGACACCAUGAAACUGUUUGCCGAUAUGGAGAGGCAGAGGCCGGGAUUCUACCAUGUGGAAGAGACAGAGAACAAUGUAGUGCGCAACCUUUUCUGGACAGACUCCUUGUGUAAGAUGAAUUAUGAUCUAUAUGGAGAUUUCGUGUCUUUUGACACGACAUUCUCUACGAAUAUAUAUGGCUUGCCAUUUGCACCAAUUAUAGGUGUCGACAACCACGGGUCGACCGUCCUGUUUGGAGUAGGCCUUUUGAAGGAUGAGAAAAUAGGGUCAUUCAAGUGGCUCCUAAGCACGUUUGUCGAGGCAAUGGGAGGUAAAGAGCCGAAAUACAUAAUAACAAACCAGGACCACACGAUGAAGACUACAAUAAAGGAAGCUCUUCCGAGAACGAGGUACAGGUCCUGCUGGUGGCAUAUUAGGAAGAACCUGAAGGAAAAUAACGCAGCAGUGUUUGCGCAGCACCCCGAGAUGUCUGAUGAUAUAUUUCGAAUCGUCAAAAACUCACUAGAUCAAGACGAGUUUGAGCGUGCCUGGAAAGCAGCAAUUUCUGUGCACAAGGCGGAAGGCAACAAACACCUGAACACGGUAUGGGAACUCCGAAAUUUUUGGGUGCCUGCCUACUUCAAGGACUGCUUCUAUCCUUUCUCGUCAACAACCACUCGCAGUGAGAGCACGAAUUCGAUGUGGAAGAAUUACGUCGACCACAAGGACACUAUAAAAAGGUUUGUUGAUGCGUAUCACAUGAUUCAGCAAAAUUGCCUCCCCACACUUGACAAGAAAAGACACCGAAUAGAAGAGAAGGCGCCAUCACUAGAGACGGGUUUUCCGAUUGAAAGACAAGCAAGUCAAGUAUACACGAAUGAAAUUUUCAGGGAAUUCCAGCUGGAGCUACGGAACUGGACUUACUUCAAGUGCUCUGACCUGGCAAAGGGGAGGCAAAAAGAGAAGGCAUACAGUGUGCUUCAUGAGUGUAUGGUAGAUAUGAAAAUAAAAGUCAUGGCGGCACUUGCUGAGGAAACAGACACAGGCAUUCUUGCCGAAACUCUCAAGAACCCUCCCAUGAGUGGCUCAAAGGGCACGAAAAAAGGAGAUCAAAUCAAAGCUGGUUCUGAGAAGAAAGGAAAAGGCAACAAAGCCGCAUCCAAGUGCGGCCGUUGUAGAGUAAAGGGUCACAGGAAAACAAACUGCCCGGAUAACCCAGAAGUCCAGGAGAGGGUGAGGAUUGAAGAGGAGAAGAGGAAAUCGCAGCAGGAGAAGAGGGCAAGGUCAAUGAAAUGGCCGACAACACUGACAACACCAUCGAGGACAUCAAACGGCUCAGGACAAUGCACUCCAAGCCCAGGAGGAAGACGUGAGACGCCAGCAACUCCAACGACCCCACUCACAGCAGGGAGCAUUUACCAAAGUCUUGCAUCUACGCCAGAAUCGAUCAUCACACAAGCCAGGCACAUAGAAUGCAUGCAGGGAAGCCCGGAACAAGGCACGGAAUCUGCGCAGUCCAUUUUCAGAAAGGAAAGGUCUUAG
RNAcentral lists this ribosomal RNA (1617 nucleotides) under Triticum aestivum (bread wheat). RNAcentral's name for it is "partial small subunit ribosomal RNA". Lineage: Eukaryota; Viridiplantae; Streptophyta; Magnoliopsida; Poales; Poaceae. The record is from RNAcentral.